GCUGCGCGCGCUCCUCCGGGACUUUUAUAUUUUGACGACACUUCUGUGAUAUCCCGGAGGAGCCGAGUGAAAC
Molecule: long non-coding RNA, 73 nt
Organism: Trachymyrmex cornetzi
Lineage: Eukaryota; Metazoa; Arthropoda; Insecta; Hymenoptera; Formicidae
Exons: 3
Source: RefSeq, a predicted model, not a curated record